GUCAGGAUGGCCGAGCGGUCUAAGGCGCAUGCUCAGGUCGCCGUCUCCCCUGGAGGGCGGGUUCAAAUCCCAUUUCUGACA
This is a non-coding RNA of Ameiurus melas (black bullhead), 81 nucleotides long. The record is from the annotation of a GenBank genome assembly. Lineage: Eukaryota; Metazoa; Chordata; Actinopteri; Siluriformes; Ictaluridae.